This 1084-nucleotide ribosomal RNA is filed under the name Candidatus Latescibacterota bacterium. RNAcentral's name for it is "Latescibacterota bacterium Bacterial small subunit ribosomal RNA". It matches the Rfam family "Bacterial small subunit ribosomal RNA", at positions 1 to 1118 of the family's 1533-position model. Lineage: Bacteria; Pseudomonadati; Candidatus Latescibacterota. The record is from Rfam by way of RNAcentral.
ACAACGGAGAGUUUGAUCCUGGCUCAGGACGAACGCUGGCGGCGUGCCUAACACAUGCAAGUCAAGGGGUAGCAAUACCACUGGCGCACGGGUGAGUAACGCGUAGGUCAUCUGCCUCUAUCCCCGGAAUAACGCUGAGAAAUUGGUGCUAAAAACGGAUGAGGCGUUUACGUCAAAGGAAACGGAUAGAGAUGAGCCUGCGUAAGAUUAGCUAGUUGGUGAGGUAAUGGCUCACCAAGGCAACGAUCUUUAGCUGGUCUGAGAGGACGAUCAGCCACACUGGAACUGAGACACGGUCCAGACUCCUACGGGAGGCAGCAGUGAGGAAUUUUGCACAAUGGAGGAAACUCUGAUGCAGCGACGCCGCGUGUAUGAAGAAGGAGCUUUGCUCUGUAAAGUACUGUCGGAUGGGAAAAAAAGUUCGGUCGCCGGACUGGGAUUGUACCAUCAAAGGAAGGGUCGGCUAACUACGUGCCAGCAGCCGCGGUAAUACGUAGGACCCGAGCGUUGUCCGGAUUUACUGGGUGUAAAGGGUGCGUAGGCGGACUUGUACGUCGGAGGUUAAAUCUCUAGGCUCAACCUAGAAACUGCCUUCGAAACGGCAAGCCUUGAGUGUGAGAGAGGAUGAUAGAAUUCCUGGUGUAGCGGUGAAAUGCGUAGAUAUCAGGAGGAAUACCAGUGGCGAAGGCGGUCAUCUGGCUCAUUACUGACGCUGAGGCACGAAAGCGUGGGGAUCAAACAGGAUUAGAUACCCUGGUAGUCCACGCCCUAAACGAUGUAUGCUUGGUGUUGGCCAACUAGCUUGGUCAGUGCCGAAGGAAACCCAUUAAGCAUACCACCUGGGGAGUACGAUCGCAAGGUUGAAACUCAAAGGAAUUGACGGGGGCCCGCACAAGCGGUGGAUUAUGUGGUUUAAUUCGAUGCAACGCGAAGAACCUUACCUGGGCUCGAAGUGCAGAUGACCGUUCCUGAAAGGGAGCUUUUCUUCGGAACAUCUGUAUAGGUGCUGCAUGGCUGUCGUCAGCUCGUGCCGUGAGGUGUUGGGUUAAGUCCCGCAACGAGCGCAACCCCUAUCCUUAGUUGC